CGCACACACUCGUGCACAUGCAUAUUUGAAUGCUUCAAUAAACCAACGAAUUUGACAGGCUGCAGCAACAACACUGUAUGCAACGUCAAGCGAACGCAUUGCAAUUGUGUAUAUACACAUGUGUAUGUAUGUAUGUACAAUUUGUUUAUUUACGUAUGUUUUAUGUUUGUAUUAUUGUUGGUGUUGUUGUUACUGGUGGCGGUACUUGUAUAUAAACUCCACAACACGCGAGUGGUGACAACGAAUGGGGCAGAGUGUGCGCGGUGACACUUGCACUUGUCAGCCAUAAGUGCGAGUCGGUGUUAGCGAGUACAUUGUGACGAAUUCGUCGCUGUGGUCGGUCGGCUUGAAGUCGCUCCUCUGGCUUGCUAACUUGGACAAUGUUGGAUUUUCCAACUGGUCGGCAUUCAUAGCGCGCUCGCGUAACUGUGCACAUGUCUAAUUGACUUGGCAGGCUGGCAGAGAGUAGAAGUGGCCAAUUGCUCGAAGAAAACAAGUAAAAUAACAAGAAAAACAUUUGUGUGAAAAGUGCAAGGAGGAAAUGCAGUGACAGCAACAGGAAUCAACUGCCAAAUAAAACUUAUAUUUAUAAUAUUGCAAACUUUGGCAUGCCAGCGAAAUUGUGUAUGCGUCAAAAAUUGAAAUAAACACCACUAAGUGUGCACGUCGAAUUAUGUAUAUGUGAAAAGGUCUUAAUUAAAAAAUCGCCAAGCAGUUAUUUGAACUAUUGUUAUUGAGUACAAUCAACACGUCAACUACACUCACCAACUGCUCAAUAUAGACUUUGCUGAAAGAAGCCAACAAGCGCCCGCCGUUUGCGCUAGGAACAAUAAUAAUAACAACAACAGAAACACCUAAUGCAAAUAAGAACAAAUCCAAUUAGACAAAUAUUUACGCGAUAAAGUGGCCUGUGGCGUGCCUAUUUGCUUGCUUGCUUGACCACACCACCCACCCAUCGAAAGCUCGGCGCCAGUCGAAGAAUUAUACACACGCUUACGGGUCAACGGUGUCAUAGCGCGCACAGUAGGCGCAAGCGACAUUUGUGGCCCAAUAGACCUUAGCCAAAAA
Molecule: long non-coding RNA, 1068 nt
Organism: Ceratitis capitata (Mediterranean fruit fly)
Lineage: Eukaryota; Metazoa; Arthropoda; Insecta; Diptera; Tephritidae
Exons: 2
Source: RefSeq, a predicted model, not a curated record